This 362-nucleotide ribosomal RNA is filed under the name uncultured bacterium. RNAcentral's name for it is "partial 16S ribosomal RNA". It matches the Rfam family "Bacterial small subunit ribosomal RNA", at positions 338 to 697 of the family's 1533-position model. The record is from RNAcentral.
CCUACGGGAGGCUGCAGUGAGGAAUAUUGGUCAAUGGACGCAAGUCUGAACCAGCCAUGCCGCGUGCAGGACGACGGCUCUAUGAGUUGUAAACUGCUUUUGUACGAGGGUAAACGCAGAUACGUGUAUCUGUCUGAAAGUAUCUUACGAAUAAGGAUCGGCUAACUCCGUGCCAGCAGCCGCGGUAAUACGGAGGAUUCAAGCGUUAUCCGGAUUUAUUGGGUUUAAAGGGUGCGUAGGCGGUCGGAUAAGUUAGAGGUGAAAUCCCGGGGCACAACUUCGGAAUUGCCUCUGAUACUGUCUGGCUAGAGAGUAGUAGAGGUAGGCGGAAUGUAUGGUGUAGCGGUGAAAUGCUUAGAGAU